This 207-nucleotide ribosomal RNA is filed under the name uncultured bacterium. RNAcentral's name for it is "partial 16S ribosomal RNA". It matches the Rfam family "Bacterial small subunit ribosomal RNA", at positions 568 to 774 of the family's 1533-position model. The record is from RNAcentral.
UGUGUAGGCGGGAUGGAAGGUACUGUGUGAAAUCCCCCGGCUCAACCGGGGAACUGCAUGGUAUACCACCAUUCUUGAGGCCAGCAGGGGUGCCUGGAACUUUGGGUGGAGCGGUGAAAUGCGUAGAUAUCCAAGGGAACGCCGGUGGCGAAAGCGGGGCACUGGGCUGGUUCUGACGCUGAGACACGAAAGCGUGGGGAGCAAACA